Molecule: non-coding RNA, 3319 nt
Organism: Podarcis lilfordi (Lilford's wall lizard)
Lineage: Eukaryota; Metazoa; Chordata; Lepidosauria; Squamata; Lacertidae
Source: the annotation of a GenBank genome assembly
ACCACCCUGUGACGUACGUGUGUGUGUGUGUGUGUGUGUGUGUGUACACCUUUGUCCACAGACAGCUUUCCGGGUCAUGUGGCCAGCAUGACUAAACUGCUUCUGGCGCAACAGAACACCGUGACAGAAAUCAGAGUGCAUGGAAAUGGCAUUUACCUUCCUGUCGCAGCAGUACCUGUUUCUCUACUUGUGCUGGUGUGCUUUCGAACUGCGAGGUUGGCAGAAGCUGGGACAGAGCAACGGGAGCUCCCCACCAUGGCACGGAUUCAGCAAGCCAAAGAGGAAACAUCACUAUAUAACACUGGUCUUGAAAGACCUACACUGGCUCCCAGUACGUUUCUGAGCACAAUUCAAAGUGUUGGUGCUGACCUUUAAAGCCCUAAACGGCCUCGACCUAGUAUACCUGAAGGAGCAUCUCCACCUCCAUCGUUCUGCCCGGACACUGAGGUCCAGUGCCGAGGGCCUUCUGGCGGUUCCCUCCCCGCGAGAAGCAAAGCUACAGGGAACCAGGCAGAGGGCCUUCUCGGUAGUGGCACCCGCCCUGUGGAACGCCCUCCUACCAGAUGUCAAAGAGAAAAACAAUUACCCAACUUUUAGAAGACAUCAGAAGGCAGCCCUGUUUAGGGAAGCUUUUAAUGUUUAAUAGGUUAUUGUAUUUUAGUGUUCUGUUGGAAGCCGCCCAGAGUGGCUGGGGAAACCCAACCAGAUGGGCGGGGUACAAAUAAUAAAUUAUUAUUAUUAUAUUAUCACUAUAGAAUACAAAAUCUUAUAAAUAUCUAUUAUAAUUGCCAAUGCAGACUCCAGUUAGCUUUCAGCAAUAGUGUGAUGGUGAGUGUUGAAGUACAGGAGUUCAUAAUUGCAACCUUCAGCCUCCAAGGAUAGGCCUGAAAAGCAGCUGUUGGGACUCAGAAGCAAACUUGAAAUCCUUAUUACCACCUCAGUCACUUGCUAGAGAAAGGAAAAUGUGCCAGUUGGCCUGGCACGACUCUGGCAGGCGAUGUCAUUGCUCCUUCUUUUGCAGGGGAAGUCCCAGGGCUUGGUCCCUUGUGUCCUUUGUGCUACACUGGAAAUUGCUAUGCAUUACUCAGUUGGCAGCUUCCCAUUAACUGCUGGUGACAGUGAAAUUUAGAGAGGGGUGGGGGAUUUACCUUACCAAAAUACAGUGGUACCUCAGGUUACAAACACCUCGGGUUACAAACGCUUCGGGUUACAGACUCCAUUAACCCGGAAGUAGUACCUCUGGUUCAGAACUUUACCUCAGGAUGAGAACAGAAAUCGCGUGCCGGUGGCAGAGGGAGUCCCCAUUAGCUAAAGUGGUAUCUCAGGUUAAGAACGGUUUUAGGUUAAAAACAGACCUCCAGAACGAAUUAAGUUCGUAACCAGAGGUACCACUGUAUGAAACUUUUUAAUGUAUUUGAUGCUAUUUUUAAAUUGUCUUUUAAUUUUUUAUUUUGCCCUGGCUCUAUUAUUAUUGAUUUUCAAUUCCAUAUAAGAUUAUUGUUCUAGCCAAAGACCAUGACAAACAGUACCAAUAAAACAAUACAGAUCCAUAAUAUGAGCCAACAUCCAUGCUGUAAGAGAGGGCUUAUUAGAGACACCAACAAACUCAAAUCCUUCUUAAUUUCAAAUUAAACCUCCAAAUCACCACAAUAAUUUAUAGUGUGUUUUUUUCUUGCAGCCAGUUCAUAGAGAACCACUCUGUGUUAUUAAGCUAUUCUGAAGCUAUUACUGUCACUCCAAGAAACCGGACCAUUUCUACCAGGGCGUAUCUGCUUGCUUGUAUGAGCAAAGGUUUCAGAAAGCAAUUGGAUCUUUAUAUAAGGAGCAGGCUAACAGAUAAUGAGUGAUGUCUUCCACCUGAGGCUGACCACAAAUUCAAAGUCUAUUUUGGUAUGGGAUGUUCUUGUAGCGGCCAUCCAAGACUGCAGUGGGCAUCGCUUGGAAAUACAGCUUAAUAAAGGCAUUUCUUAAGGAAGCCGGUGAGAGUUUGUCUGAUAACUAGCUCUAAAAUGCUCUGGAUACAAAUUUGGGGGGGGGGGCGAAAUUGGUGUUUCUAAUUAUUUGCAGGUCCCUUCUAUCCAGAAGAGCCAAUUCCUCAGCUGACACUUAUUCAAGGUCAAAGCAGAGCUCAGUUCUGGGAAACAUUAUUAUUAUUAAUUGCAUUUAUCCAUUACUUACUACAACAGUGUCUUAAAAUGACAUACAAUUAUAAAAGCAGGUAUGAUGUACAAUUUAAAAUAUACUAAAAAAGUAACACAACAUCAAUUGACUAAAGGUGUUCAUUGGGCAAUAACAAAAAAAGUGCAAAUCCUUUCCCACCCUACUAAAAUUCAGAUUUGGAGGAUCCCUCAGUAAAGAACAGGAAUGUCUUUGGUGUCUAAAAGCUGUUGUUGCUGUUACCACUCUACCCUAAGGCCCCAGGGCGGGUUACAACAAUUGCAGUUGUUAAUAAUGUUGUAAAUAAUGGUCACAUUUAUUAAUAAUGGUGCCUGGCAGCUCUCUCUAAGAAACAUUCCAUAACUGGGAAGCCACCCCUGAAAAGGCCCAUUCUUGUGUUGCCACCCUCUGCACCUUCCUCAGAAGAUGGGAGGCACAUGGCAAAAGGCCUCUGUCAUGCCUAGCCCUGACCUGCUGCCAGACACUGAGUCCUUGAAGGAUGAACCAGACACACAAACAGGCCAAGGCCCUUGUGGGUUGUCUGGCUUCUCUAGUUCAUGCAUUGGUAAGUUCAUCGCUGGGUUUUUGUAAUUCACUCUAUGUGGAGUUGCCUUAGAUUCAAACGCUGCCUGUAGGGACAGCUCACCUUUAAUAUAUAACACAUGUGUUGACAGCUCAGUACUGGCUGCCAAUACAUUAUCGAGCCAGAUUUAAAGUGCUAGCUUUGACAGCAGAAGCCCUACAUGGCUUGGAACCUAGAUACCUGAAAGACCACCUGCUUCCUUAUUUACCUGCCCUGACUUUGAGGUCAUGGGGGGAGGUGUCCUCAUGGUGCCACAGUUCUCUGAGAUAUAAUGCAGUGGCACUCUCAGCAGUGGCAGCACCCUGAUUCUGUAGUGCCCCCCUCCCCUCUCAGAUGCAAGCAGCACCAAUGCUAAUGGAGGUAAAUACAUGGCUAUUCACCCAAGCAUUUGGUUAAAAUAGUGCCCCUCACUUGACUGAUGUAGUUAUGCCGUUAGUAUGCUGCUUGAUUUUAUACGAAAUUGUAUUUAAAUGAAAUAAUCACUUUAUUGUAUUUCAGUGUUUUCCCUUGCUCUGGCCUUGUGUGAACAAUGUAGUUAUUUCAAUAAAUAAAUACAAAUAAAUUCCUUUAUAUACCUUU